GACAGGGAGAGCUUAAUGGUGGUUUUAACCCUAUAGGGUCAGGAAUACAUGUUUGUGUUCCUGCCCUUUAGUGCUCCUUUAAUACACUUAAUAUGUUGUAUAAUUCGUUCUGCUGAUUUGUACUAGAAUGUAAUUACUUUACCCACCACUGUGACAUGUUAAAAGAGCUAAACUGGUUGUCGCUGGAAUCCCGACGCACUCUUCAGCUUUCCAUCCUUGUGCAUUAGAGUACUUCAGGGACGUUCCCACCCAACCUGAGUAGAAUGCUCUCCCCUGCUCUUCCGACCUCCUAUAAUCUCCAAUCCAGUACUUGCACGAUAUAUAGCAUACCGCAAUACAAAAAUAAAGUGUCUCAAUCCUCUUUUUUUCCUACAGAGCACCACAAUUAUGGAAUAACCUCCGUGACACAGUCAAAUCUAAAAUCUUUUAAGAGAUCUAUGGCAAUAUACCUCAACACAGAAU
Non-coding RNA from Pelobates cultripes (western spadefoot toad), 462 nucleotides. The record is from the annotation of a GenBank genome assembly. Lineage: Eukaryota; Metazoa; Chordata; Amphibia; Anura; Pelobatidae.